UUGUGAGCUCCGCUCCCUUCCUAGCUCGGCAAGGUGAGGCGAUUUUCAGUUGAUUCAAGCAAAAGGAGUUCGCUGUGACCAAACCAGGGCAAAAUUUGAAGUAUGGGAGGCCUCGAAAAGUUAUUUGCACUUAAGCAGAAUGCUUUUAGGAGGGAUCUUGUUUCCUGUGUCGGCUACAUGCCUUUUCAUGAAGAUGUGAACCAGCAUCCAAGAGUUAUGAAGAUGAUAUGAAGUUUUUGCUAUAUCUUGAAGAAAGAAGCUAGGCCUUUUUCUGUGCAGUCUUU
Molecule: long non-coding RNA, 284 nt
Organism: Panicum virgatum (switchgrass)
Lineage: Eukaryota; Viridiplantae; Streptophyta; Magnoliopsida; Poales; Poaceae
Exons: 3
Source: RefSeq, a predicted model, not a curated record